AAAGAGUUUUUUGUUAAUGUGGGUUACGGUGUUAAUUGUACCUUUUGCAUCAUGAUUUGUCGAGUAUAUUAAAAUAUUUUGGUUGUCCGAAGAGAAACGAUUUUUUUUGAGCUUGUUAUGCGAACUAAGCGAAUGGCGGGUUGUUGUGUGUUAGAGCUUAAGAAGGUAGUGAGAAGUUAUUCGUGUUUCUUUAUAACUGAUUUAAUACAAUAUUUUCAAUUUAAAUUACUUGUUAUAAAAUGAGUGGUUAAAUAAGAGAAAAUCUCAAGGUAAUAAAAAUUUUAGGGCUAAAAGUUUCCUCUAAUAAAAAGUUUGUUACAAAAAGAAAAAAUGAAGUAAUUUCUUUAAAAAAAGUGUAUUAUAAUAAUUUUUUUAGAAUAAUAAUAAAAUUAGUAAAUUGAAAAGAGUCUCUUUCUUUCUCGAUGUGUGUCAGUCUGUUUAUUAAAAACAUUGUCAUUAAAAAGAGUUAAUGGUAUUUACCUGCCCAGUGUGAUAAUAAAUGGCCGCAGUAUUUUGACUGUGCGAAGGUAGCAUAAUUAGUUGCCUCAUAAUUGGAGGAUUGUUUGAAUGGUAUAACUAGAUGCAGUGGUAAGAUGGAGAAUAGGGUUGAAUUUGGUAUAAAGGUGCAGAAUCCUUUAUAAUAAAAUAAGACGGAAAGACCCCGAGAUCUUUAUACGUGCGUGUUUAUGUGGGGCAUAGGUAAAUAAUUUAUUUAUUUUUUGAUCCUGUAAGUAAGGGAAAAAGGUUAAAGUUACCUCGGGGAUAACUGUGUAAGAAAUAAAAAGAGAUCUUAUCGAUUUAUUUGUUUGCCACCUCGAUGUUGACUUGGAGAGUUGUGUAGGCGUAGAAGUUUAUGUAUAAUGGUCUGUUCGACCUUUAAUUCUCCUCAUGAGUUGAGUUAAGACCGGUGUGAGCCAGGUCGGUUCUUAUCUAUUUUUCGGUGUGGAUAGUACGAAAGGAAUUUCAUUCCUUUAAGUU
Molecule: ribosomal RNA, 978 nt
Filed under: Posthodiplostomum centrarchi
Lineage: Eukaryota; Metazoa; Platyhelminthes; Trematoda; Diplostomida; Diplostomidae
Description: large subunit ribosomal RNA
Rfam family: Bacterial large subunit ribosomal RNA (bases 619-978)
Source: RNAcentral